This 960-nucleotide long non-coding RNA is filed under the name Cricetulus griseus (Chinese hamster). RNAcentral describes it as "lncRNA (ENSCGRG00015036231.1)". The record is from RNAcentral. Lineage: Eukaryota; Metazoa; Chordata; Mammalia; Rodentia; Cricetidae.
CCAACAUUUCAUUUUCUAUCACACAUAAGUGAAUUCCCUCUUUAGAACCUAAACAGCUGUGCAACUGACACAUCUGGAAUUCUGGGGAACCUUAGAAUAUAUAGCUCUUCUUGAUGGGGGCAUGAACUUUAUUAAACCAAGUCACUUGUGCUUUCAGGAAGCCAUCAUUGCAAUUCCACUUGCUCCUCUGGGAAAACUGAGGCUCUCUGUGUGCUCGCUGCCACUUCAAGCUGGAGUGCGUUUCUGCCUGAAGUGAUUACAUUAUUCUUUCCCUCAAUGACAUCUGGGAGAAAUGGACGUGCCUUCCGUCUCUGCUGCUGCCUGGGCUCAAAGGCCUCUGGAAUAAUGAAGACCUGAGUCUGAUCCCCAGCAUCUAUGAAAAAGACUGGGUGUUGUAGUUUGUGCUGGUUAUCCUGGUCCUGGGGGAGAGGGAGACUGUCUUCCCUGGAGCCAUCUGGCAAGUCAGUCUAGCUGAGUUAGUGAUCUCCAGGUGCCACAGAAGACAAGGUGGGACAAUAACAAGCCUUCAUCCAGCAGCUGGUGGAAGUAGAAGCAGACACCACAGCUAAUCACUGAACUGAACUGGAAUCCAGUUGCAGAGAAGGACGAGUGAAGAGCAAAGGGGUCCAGACCAGGCUGGUGAAACCCACAGAAACAGCUGACCUGAACAACGGGGAGCUCUUGGUUCCCAGACUGAUAGCUGGAAAACCAGCAUGGGUCUGAUCCAGAACCCAGGAACAUGGGUUUCAGUGAGGACACCUCGGAAAUCUACGGGACCUUCUGUAGUAGUUCAGUACUUUAUCCCUAGCAUAGGUGUGGACUUUGGGAGCCCAUUCCACAUAGAGGAUGCUCCCUGAGCCAAGACACAUGGGGGUGGGCCUAGGCCCUAUCCUAAAGGAUGGGAGGCCUCACCCUCCCUGGAGAGCAGAAAGCAUAUGUGAUAGUUAGGGUCUUAGUUGG